Molecule: long non-coding RNA, 673 nt
Organism: Brienomyrus brachyistius
Lineage: Eukaryota; Metazoa; Chordata; Actinopteri; Osteoglossiformes; Mormyridae
Exons: 2
Source: RefSeq, a predicted model, not a curated record
UACAAACCAAAAGGAGAAGUAGCAGGAGAAAAGGAGGAGCAGGAGGUGGGGAGUGAGAGAACAUCAUCAUGACACACCGAUAAAAACCCCAAACCAGCAGUUUCAGUCACUUUAGUCUGAAGCUCAAAGUUUGACUCAACAUCCAGUAGCGUGAAAUGGUAAUAAUUUCUCAUAAAACAAGUAAUUGGCAAAGGUAAAUUACUGUCUCUGUUUUUUGUUUUCCUGUACUUCUUAAUUUUUUACAACCUUUUUCUGUUUACACAUACUUUAUUUUAUGGAUGUUUUCAUCCAAAAUAUCAUACAGUUGAGCUUAGCAGUGAAGUCACUCUACAAGAAUUGAGUCCGCGACCUCCAAAUUCUAACCAGAGAAUCCUAACCCACUGAGACACCCAGCAUACCAACUGAAAUCUGGGAGGACCAACAAACCACAGCCCUGAACAAACAGAUCUGAUCUUAGUGUGAAUACAGUCUUCAGUUCCACCAAGUGCCAAUGGCAGCAGCAUCGACAGAAGUGGGCGGCAGAACUACAGAGCGAGAGAGACCUCUUCACAUUCUCACUGUCAACGUUAAUGGGCUGAAAACAAAUGGCAAAGGACUCAUAGAAGAACUUGAAAAAUUAAAAUCUGAAAACAGGGAGGUUGAUGUUCUUUUCUUAACAGAGACUCGCAUUGGA